UACAGAGGUCCCGAGCGUUGUUCGGAUUCACUGGGCGUAAAGGGUGCGUAGGUGGCGAUGAAAGUUCGAUGUGAAAUCUCCGGGCUUAACCCGGAAAAGGCAUUGAAAACUAUGUUGCUUGAGGUUUGGAGGGGGGACUGGAAUUCUUGGUGUAGCAGUGAAAUGCGUAGAUAUCAAGAGGAACACCAGUGGCGAAGGCGAGUCCCUGGACAACACCUGACACUGAGGCACGAAAGCCGGGGGAGCAAACAGG
This 253-nucleotide ribosomal RNA is filed under the name uncultured bacterium. RNAcentral describes it as "partial 16S ribosomal RNA". It matches the Rfam family "Bacterial small subunit ribosomal RNA", at positions 524 to 776 of the family's 1533-position model. The record is from RNAcentral.